Molecule: ribosomal RNA, 497 nt
Filed under: uncultured bacterium
Lineage: Bacteria
Description: partial 16S ribosomal RNA
Rfam family: Bacterial small subunit ribosomal RNA
Source: RNAcentral
GACGAACGCUGGCGGCGUGCCUAAUACAUGCAAGUUGAGCGCUGAAGGUUGGUACUUGUACCAACUGGAUGAGCAGCGAACGGGUGAGUAACGCGUGGGGAAUCUGCCUUUGAGCGGGGGACAACAUUUGGAAACGAAUGCUAAUACCGCAUAAAAACUUUAAACACAAGUUUUAAGUUUGAAAGAUGCAAUUGCAUCACUCAAAGAUGAUCCCGCGUUGUAUUAGCUAGUUGGUGAGGUAAAGGCUCACCAAGGCGAUGAUACAUAGCCGACCUGAGAGGGUGAUCGGCCACAUUGGGAAUGAGACACGGCCCAAACUCCUACGGGAGGCAGCAGUAGGGAAUCUUCGGAAAUGGACGAAAGUCUGACCGAGCAACGCCGCGUGAGUGAAGAAGGUUUUCGGAUCGUAAAACUCUGUUGGUAGGGAAGAACGUUGGUGAGAGUGGAAAGCUCAUCAAGUGACGGUAACUACCCAGAAAGGGACGGCUAACUACGUG